CCCUGUCACUCUCUUCUGUGCCUCGCCCCCCAUUUCCGUCUUACGCUCUUUGCUCCGAGUGUCUCCGUCCGCUUCUCACUCCGAUAGCCUCUCCCCAUUUUGCCCCGCUGCCUGCUAGAUCCCACGUGCGUCCCGUGCUGUUUAAGCUCCGCCCCCCCUCCCCCUGAUGGUGAUCUCACUCAGCACGCUGUCAGCCACUGUUGUUGGCAGAUCGGAGCCCUGCUGGUGUUUUUCAUGGGCGGAGCCAGAGUGAACCCUUUCCCCGGAGCGGAGCGCAGGGCCCAUCCAUCAAGCUGCCUCUCAUGCCGUCCCGUCCAGAAUGAGUUGCGACAGAGGCCUUAACAGGGUCUAGAAGAUAUGAUUCAAUUACUGCCGCGGAUAAUAUAAAAAGCCAAUUCAAUUACUGUGCUCUGAGUUAUCGUAUUUGACCGCGUGUUUGGUAAAUGCCAUCUGGAGUUGAAAAAAACAGGAGUGUUUAUGAAAAGGAAGAGGUGCGGAAAGCAGGGGAAGGAGGACAGCUCGGAAAAAGACGGCAGCGGGAAAAGGGCGCGGUGACAGGUCGCGUAACACCGCGUCAGGCGCGCUGGGUAAUUGCACUUUAAGCGAGGAGGCGUGCUGCAUUCCUCUGUGUUUGUGACAGUUUUAUUAAGAGCUGUCCACCCGCCCUGGCCCUUAGUGAAGUAAGGGAGUGCGGAUAAAGGAGGGGAGCGCAGCUGAGAGACGGACUCGGGGUAGGAAUGUCUCUGAUUUAAACUUGGCUGCUUGUCCUUUUUAAAUCAAAUAAAGUGAUGAGUUUGGGA
Molecule: long non-coding RNA, 800 nt
Organism: Brienomyrus brachyistius
Lineage: Eukaryota; Metazoa; Chordata; Actinopteri; Osteoglossiformes; Mormyridae
Exons: 2
Source: RefSeq, a predicted model, not a curated record